Molecule: long non-coding RNA, 481 nt
Organism: Stomoxys calcitrans (stable fly)
Lineage: Eukaryota; Metazoa; Arthropoda; Insecta; Diptera; Muscidae
Exons: 2
Source: RefSeq, a predicted model, not a curated record
AAAAGUCUAUUGAAAUCAUUAUAAUGAUGAAUGCUAUUACUUAUAUUUUUGGAAGAGACUUUUUGCAAUUCAUUAAUUAUGAUAAUGAUGAUAAUAUAUGUCUGAGUGUCAGCGUAUGGUUGAAAAGGAAUGAAUGCAAUUUUGACUAACCCUUUCGAAGAUGCUAAAUUCAAGUGUAACGCAAUUGCCAAUACUUUCACAUCUCAGUUUAAAUGGAAAUGGAAUGAAUGCUUCUUCUUUUGCUAAUGAGAAUUCCAUUUUUCUUUGUUAUGGAAAUGAAAUUUCUCUCGAUUUUUUUAUAUUUUUUUUUUUACUUUGAGGUUAUAAUGAAACCAGGCAGAUUGGCGAAGGAAAUUUCAUUGUGGCGAAACAUAAACCCCUAGCAAUAUCCAUUGGAAUCAUCUCAUUUAACUGGAAUCAAUUACAUAUGUCUUUAUGUUAUUUUUUCCCUUUAAUUAAAAUUACUAUAGUAAAAUCAAAA